Non-coding RNA from Poecilia reticulata (guppy), 1538 nucleotides. The record is from RefSeq and is a predicted model, not a curated record. Lineage: Eukaryota; Metazoa; Chordata; Actinopteri; Cyprinodontiformes; Poeciliidae.
AACCAGUCUUGUCUGUGAGGCGUUUAAGUUGAGUCAGUAAAUCACAUGAUGCGGCAGCGCUCUGGAGUGUACCAUCACAAAGUGGAGAGAGGCACAAGCAUUCUACACUUCACAUGCUUCCCUUCAUCUGAGUCGUGUGGUUCAGACCGAGCAGUGGAUGCUUCACUGACACACAGCUGGCUGGAUUUUGAGGCCCAGUUCUGGUAACAGUGGAAUGAGGAGUGAAGUGAGCUUUGGGACAAACAUGAGUCACGGCGAAACCAAGAAACCAAACACCUCACUCGGUUCUCCUUCCUCUUUGCCACUUUCCAGCCUCCGUUCCCCCCUUUUUUUUCCUCUUUUCUUUACCGUUGUAUUUUCUGAAGAGCAACCUGGAUAGAGAAAUUAACGCCUUGUCUCGUCUUUUUAGUGUUUUUACUGUUGUUGUAGUUUUGGCCCAAGAAAAACAUUUUGACACUAAUUAAUCAACCAGUGCACUGAUGAUGUGAAAGGGACACAGAAGUGAACAUAGAAACAUCUUUUUCAGGUUUUGCUAAGUUUUUUAUAUUUUCCUACUCUAAUGCAAAAAUGGCUCCUCUGCGUGUCGUCAGCUUUUGCAGGAACCGGCAGCCAAUGAUUCAUUCAUUUGAUUGCUUGUUUUCUUGGUUCAAAAAUACCAUAAAACAGAACUUCUUAUGGUUUUCUUACAACAAUCAAGGGCACAGCAAAUAGUUAAGUGAAUUAUCCACUAGGGUGGCGCAACAGCUUGGGAUAUUUUUGUUUAUAACACUGCUUUAAACGCCACAACCAUAUGUGUUUUGGAGUUUAUGGUGGUGUUUGCCACACACAGUACAUGAUGAUGCUGACGAGGACACAGAACAGGGUGGAGUAUUGCAACAUUAUGAACCAGAAAGCUUAAUUCAGGUACAAUAUUCCAUUUUCAUCCCGCAAACAUUGCAUCUGUAACGUAGCAUUGUAAUUUAGACAGACGCUUCAUUCGGGUCACUGGAAGCUUUGGUUCCCUAAUUCAGUUACAGAUACUGAAUUGAAUUUUACUUCUUCUUACAACUUAAUUGAAAACAGCUGUGUUGUUUAUUAAUUAGCAAUAUAUUUUAAUCUGAACUGGUAUAAUGUAUGAACAAAAUAAUAAAAUGCAGUAGCACCUUAAAAUCGACACACUUUUAGAAAAAUGUGGGACCGUAAGCAGAUAAGGAGCAACUUUGGAUGCAAUACGUCAGUCAAUAGUUUGAAUUAUAUCCCAAGAAAACUAUUAGCAUUUAAAGCACCUGUUUUAUUCAGUUACCAGACAUCUAAAGAGACAAAACAAUAGAGUAUUGAGCAUUAGUGAGUUGUUAUAGCUUUCUAUGCAGCAUUAAAUGUCACACCAGCAUUAACUUUCAUAAUUUUCCAGGUUCUUUAAAAAAAAAAAACCUACAAAAAAAUGUCUCCAUUCCAUUCAUCUCGACCACGAUCAUACAUUCUUACAACUGAACGAAAAAAACAACUUUAUUUUUAUAUUAUAGGAGUUAUUAAAUUUCACAUCCAAAAAAAAAAAAAAA